UACAGAGGGUGCGAGCGUUAAUCGGAAUUACUGGGCGUAAAGCGCGCGUAGGCGGCUCUGCAAGUCGGAUGUGAAAUCCCCGGGCUUAACCUGGGAACUGCAUUCGAGACUGCAUUGCUAGAGUAUGGGAGAGGGAAGUGGAAUUUCCGGUGUAGCGGUGAAAUGCGUAGAUAUCGGAAGGAACAUCAGUGGCGAAAGCGACUUCCUGGACCAAUACUGACGCUCAUGUGCGAAAGCGUGGGGAGCAAACAGG
RNAcentral lists this ribosomal RNA (253 nucleotides) under uncultured bacterium. RNAcentral's name for it is "partial 16S ribosomal RNA". It matches the Rfam family "Bacterial small subunit ribosomal RNA", at positions 524 to 776 of the family's 1533-position model. The record is from RNAcentral.